Molecule: ribosomal RNA, 502 nt
Filed under: Halorubrum sp. AJS
Lineage: Archaea; Methanobacteriati; Methanobacteriota; Halobacteria; Halobacteriales; Haloferacaceae
Description: bacterial SSU rRNA
Rfam family: Archaeal small subunit ribosomal RNA
Source: RNAcentral
CGGGGUGCAGCAGGCGCGAAACCUUUACACUGCACGACAGUGCGAUAGGGGGAUCCCAAGUGCACAGGCAUAGCGCCUGUGCUUUUCGGUACCCUAAGGCGGUACCAGAAUAAGGGCUGGGCAAGACCGGUGCCAGCCGCCGCGGUAAUACCGGCAGCCCAAGUGAUGGCCGAUCUUAUUGGGCCUAAAGCGUCCGUAGCUGGCCACGCAAGUCCAUCGGGAAAUCCACCUGCCCAACAGGUGGACGCCCGGUAGAAACUGCGUGGCUUGGGACCGGAAGGCGCGACGGGUACGUCCGGGGUAGGAGUGAAAUCCCGUAAUCCUGGACGGACCGCCGAUGGCGAAAGCACGUCGCGAGAACGGAUCCGACAGUGAGGGACGAAAGCCAGGGUCUCGAACCGGAUUAGAUACCCGGGUAGUCCUGGCCGUAAACAAUGUCUGCUAGGUGUGGCUCCCACUACGAGUGGGUGCUGUGCCGCAGGGAAGCCGCUAAGCAGACCGC